This 848-nucleotide ribosomal RNA is filed under the name Clavascidium lacinulatum var. lacinulatum. RNAcentral's name for it is "LSU rRNA". It matches the Rfam family "Eukaryotic large subunit ribosomal RNA", at positions 267 to 1124 of the family's 3401-position model. The record is from RNAcentral. Lineage: Eukaryota; Fungi; Ascomycota; Eurotiomycetes; Verrucariales; Verrucariaceae.
GAGUUGUUUGGGAAUGCAGCUCAAAUGGGUGGUAAAUUCCAUCUAAAGCUAAAUAUGGGCCAGAGACCGAUAGCGCACAAGUAGAGUGAUCGAAAGAUGAAAAGCACUUUGAAAAGAGAGUUAAACAGUAUGUGAAAUUGUUGAAAGGGAAGCGCUGGCCACCAGACUUGCGGGUGACGGUUCCCCCGGCCCUCCGUGGGCCGGGCCACUCCGUCACCUCCAGGCCAGCAUCGGUUCGGGUGGUCGGUCAAAGGCCCCGGGAAGGUAUCUACCUUUGGGUAGACUUACAGCCCGGGGCGUCAUACGGCCCACCCGGACCGAGGAACGCGCCCCCCCGUCGGGGCUCGGAUGUUGGCGUAAUGGUGGUCAGCGACCCGUCUUGAAACACGGACCAAGGAGUCUAACAUCCAUGCGAGUGUUUGGGUGUCAAACCCCGACGCGGAAUGAAAGUGAACGGAGGUGAGAUCCCCGCGAGGGGCGCAUCAUCGACCGAUCCGGAUGUCUUCGGAUGGAUUUGAGUAAGAGCAUGGCUGUUGGGACCCGAAAGAUGGUGAACUAUGCCCGGAUAGGGUGAAGCCAGAGGAAACUCUGGUGGAGGCUCGCAGCGGUUCUGACGUGCAAAUCGAUCGUCGAAUCUGGGUAUAGGGGCGAAAGACCAAUCGAACCGUCUGGUAGCUGGUUCCUGCCGAAGUUUCCCUCAGGAUAGCAGUAACGGCGACAGUUUUAUGAGGUAAAGCGAAUGAUUAGAGGCCUUGGGGUUGAAACAACCUUAACCUAUUCUCAAACUUUAAAUAUGUAAGAAGUCCUUGUUGCUUCGGUGAACGUGGACCGUCGAAUGUAUCGUUACU